This 402-nucleotide ribosomal RNA is filed under the name Microvirga ossetica. RNAcentral's name for it is "partial 16S ribosomal RNA". It matches the Rfam family "Bacterial small subunit ribosomal RNA", at positions 355 to 774 of the family's 1533-position model. RNAcentral also lists the same sequence under 1 other name. The record is from RNAcentral. Lineage: Bacteria; Pseudomonadati; Pseudomonadota; Alphaproteobacteria; Hyphomicrobiales; Methylobacteriaceae.
UGGGGAAUCUUAGACAAUGGGGGAAACCCUGAUCUAGCCAUGCCGCGUGAUCGAUGAAGGCCUUAGGGUUGUAAAGAUCUUUCAGUUGGGAAGAUAAUGACGGUACCAACAGAAGAAGCCCCGGCUAACUCCGUGCCAGCAGCCGCGGUAAUACGGAGGGGGCUAGCGUUAUUCGGAAUUACUGGGCGUAAAGCGCACGUAGGCGGAUCAGAAAGUCAGAGGUGAAAUCCCAGGGCUCAACCUUGGAACUGCCUUUGAAACUCCUGGUCUUGAGGUCGAGAGAGGUGAGUGGAAUUCCGAGUGUAGAGGUGAAAUUCGUAGAUAUUCGGAGGAACACCAGUGGCGAAGGCGGCUCACUGGCUCGAUACUGACGCUGAGGUGCGAAAGCGUGGGGAGCAAACA